UGGAUUUAUAAAAAACCGUUAAGGUGAGUGUGUCUGUUGCAUUUGUUAAUGACACGGGUAUAAAUAAAGUUUUUUUGACAUUCAGCUACACUGUGACGGUCAGCGUUAUUUCUCUAAAUAAGUUUAGGUAACUUGUAAGUUUAGAUAACAUAAUUUAAAACUAGCAAAUUAUUGCAUGCACAUACGGUACAAAGCAUGAUUAUUUAUUUAGAUUUCAGAAUGAGCACGUUUAUUGUCAUUAAUACUAAAUAUGCUGCGGUCUGUCUGCUGAUCUGAUACUGUAAUAAAGAUGAAUGUAUAAUAACUGAUUAAAACGCAAAAUGUACAACUUUCAGUAAAUAACUAUUUACAUGCUUUGGACGUUUGUGUUGUAAUAAUGUACAGGGUAAGUUCACAUAUAAAAACGAAGACGAGUAAAGUGAUGUUUUAUCAUUAAAAUCUGAUAACGUCCAUUGAUUUAAUAGAACGUUUGGGUAUACCAACAUGGCGGCGCGGUGGCUUCACAAGUGUGACGUCAUGCGCAAUCCAGUCAUUUAUAUAGAUCAGUGGUGUGUCGUCGUAUCUGUUCUGCUCAUCUAGCGCGUAUUUAUUUCUUUAUUAAUAUCUGCUGGGUGAAUAUUAAUACGUAUAUGCUAACAUUAAUUUUGUGACCACAAAAUGACAGCGAGCUAUUAUACGAGAUAUUGUGUCGUCGUGUUUGUCUUCACUCACUUCAUCAUUAUCUGUGUAUGUAAAUCUGGGCUACAGUCCACGACAAAUUUUCUACGGUAGUUUUACGCCUGCAUGCUGGUCCUUUCGUCUAUCGCGGGGAUAUCAUCACUUCAGCGGACAUCGCACUGAAGAGAUCCUGUGCUUGCGUGGCGGUGUGUUUGUGUGCUCACUUGGAUUGAGACCAGCAGUGCUCUUUUAAACAGUGGGUGAGUACUAACUUAUUAUUGUGUAGUUUCAUAAAAGCCUUACUCUUUUCAGUCACAUAACUUUUGUUCAUCUGCUAAUAAUAGGACUAUCCAUACAAAAAGAUGUAUUGUAGAUUUAAGUAAUAUCUGCGAAUAUUUAUGUGAAAAUGUAUUAGUGUUCUGCUGACAUGAGAUCUGAAAAUGUGUUCUAGGACCUGAUAUGGAUUAAUCCAAUGAUCAACGUUUUCCUUUGUAUCCCUGUUUUGUAUACGCUGCCAUUACAUGAUGGUCAUAUGUCCCGGAUGAUCGGGAGAAGUCACGUGGUUCAAUUAUUAUUAUUUUUUUACGUGGUUCAAUUAUCUGUUAAUAAAAUUUUUUUACCAUGCAUUUAGCAUCAGGCAAAGCCUGCAAUCAAUCUAUUAAGACAGAAACAAUAUCUUACUUAUUAUUAUGUUUUUAUGAUAAUAUCAUGUGAUCAUCUGAGUUAGAACAAAAUCUAUUCAUUUUCAGGUAUAACUGUGCAAGUGCCCUGAAUCAUUUUGUUGAAAUGUUAUGUGUUUAAGAUUCUUUAUGACAUCAAGAUGUGGUUUGGGAAGGACCUUCAUCUUAAUCUGAAGACAGGACAUACUGGCUCAAAAAGGUGUUUCUGAUAUGGAGAAAAACCCUGCACUGCUCAUUUUAUUUCUUCAUCUUGAGAAUACAGCAAGUUUACCUUUUGUCUGGAAAAUGAUUCAGCAAAGCUAACACCAACAACAAUUUUUCAUGGCACUUUAAACCACCUUGAUGUGAGGAGCCAGCAUCAGAAUGGAUGGUGUCAAUAUCCUGAAAGUGGAGGUAACAGAGGUGGAUCUCAAGACUUGGCCAUGUUCUAGAUUAUAACUGGAUUAUCACAAGUGCUGUCGCCCCUGCUGUAUAUGACGCCCCCACCACCUACACCAGGUGUAGGAAAUGUCGGUCCUGGAGUGCCGUUGUCCUGCAGAGUUUUGCUCCAGCUCUAAACAAACACACCUGAACAACUAGAUCUGAAGAGUCACCAGAAAACUACAGGUAGGCGAGGUUUAAUCAGGGUUGGAAAUAAAAUCUGCAGGAUUUCGGCACUCCAGGACCGACGUUGCCUACUCCUGCCACCACCACCCAUACUACCUACAAAAAACUGUAUUGUAAUUAUGCUUGUAUGAUGUGGUUUUCUCAUUUAGGGUAACUACACUAUGGCAACAAUUGGAUACAUUGAUUGCUGACUGAUUUUGUUAUUUUUUCUUUACUUUUUGUUUAAAAUCUAAUCAUUUUUUUGUUAUUUUUGUUAAUAUUGUUACAAAUAUACAGUUAAAACUGCACAAUAAAUUUUCUGCUUUUAAAAAUA
This is a non-coding RNA of Paramisgurnus dabryanus, 2256 nucleotides long. The record is from RefSeq and is a predicted model, not a curated record. NCBI's taxonomy places the organism in Eukaryota, Metazoa, Chordata, Actinopteri, Cypriniformes, Cobitidae.